GUAUGACGGGCGGCGGAGGAGAAAGAGGCAUAAUAGAAUUUGGAGUGCUGGGAUUGACGAAUGCGAUCAUACCAGCACUAACGCACCGGAUCCCAUCAGAACUCCGAAGUUAAGCGUGCUUGGGCGAGAGUAGUAGUAGGAUGGGUGACGCCUUGUGAAGUCCUCGUGUUGCAUCCCUUUUUUUUUUCCUUUAAAAUUCGGUUUAAUUUUGCCGAUUCGAUCGGCGAAUCUUUUUGUUUUUCCUCUUGGCGGAAACGAGAAAGGGGGCAAGGCGCAGGGGCGUGCGUGCGGGGUAUGACGGGCGGCGGAGGAGAUGAAGCAUAAUAGAAUUUGGAGUGCUGGGAAUGACGGAUGCGAUCAUUCCAGCACUAACGCACCGGAUCCCAUCAGAACACCGAAGUUAAGCGUGCUUGGGUGACAGUAGUAUUAGGAUGGGUGACCCCCUGGGAAGUCCCCGUGUUGCAUCCCUUCUUUUUGGUUUUUCCUUAAAAAUUCGGUUAAAUUUUGCCCGUUCGAUCGACGAAUCUUUUUGUUUUUCCUCUUGGCGGAAUGAGAAAGAGGGCAAGGCGAAGGGGCGCGCGUGCGGUGUGUGACUGGCGGCGCAGGAGAAAUAGGCAUAAUAAAAUUUGGAGUGCUGGAUAUGACGGAUAGGAUCAUACCAGCACUAACGCACCGGAUCCCAUCAGAACUCCGAAGUUAAGCAUACUUGGGGGAGAGUAAUACUAGGAUGGGUGACACCCUGGGAAGUCCUCGUGUUAUAUCCCUUCCUUUUUUGUUUCCUUUAAAAUUCAGUUUAAUUUUGCAUCUUCGAUCCGCGAAUCUUUUGUUUUUCCUCUUGGGGGAAACGAGAACGGGGGAAAAGCGAAGGGGCCCGCGUGCGGUGUGUGACUGGCGGCGGAGGACAAAGAGGCAUAAUAGAAUUUGGAGUUCUGGGAAUGACGGAUGCGAUCAUACCAGCACUAACGCACCGGAUCCCAUCAAAACUCCGAAGUUAAGC
Molecule: long non-coding RNA, 997 nt
Filed under: Capsicum annuum
Lineage: Eukaryota; Viridiplantae; Streptophyta; Magnoliopsida; Solanales; Solanaceae
Source: RNAcentral